CCUACGGGAGGCAGCAGUGGGGAAUAUUGGGCAAUGGAGGAAACUCUGACCCAGCGACGCCGCGUGCGGGAUGAAGGCCUUCGGGUUGUAAACCGCUUUCAGUAGGGAAGAAGCGAAAGUGACGGUACCUACAGAAGAAGCACCGGCUAACUAUGUGCCAGCAGCCGCGGUAAUACAUAGGGUGCAAGCGUUGUCCGGAAUUAUUGGGCGUAAAGAGCUCGUAGGUGGUUCGUCACGUCGGAUGUGAAAAUCUGGGGCUCAACCCCAGACCUGCAUUCGAUACGGGCGAUCUAGAGUGUGGUAGGGGAGACUGGAAUUCCUGGUGUAGCGGUGGAAUGCGCAGAUAUCAGGAGGAACACCAAUGGCGAAGGCAGGUCUCUGGGCCAUUACUGACACUGAGGAGCGAAAGCGUGGGGAGCGAACAGGAUUAGAUACCCUGGUAGUCCACGCCGUAAACGGUGGGCACUAGUUGUGGGAACCUUCCACGGUUUCUGCGACGCAGCUACGCAUUAAGUAGCCCGCCCGUCGGGAGGUACGAUCGCAAGAAUUAAACUACAAAUAGAAUUAGACGGCGUGAGACGUGCCGAACGGACGACGACGAGGGAGGUAGG
This 611-nucleotide ribosomal RNA is filed under the name uncultured bacterium. Its description in RNAcentral is "bacterial SSU rRNA". The stretch from base 1 to 523 matches the Rfam family "Bacterial small subunit ribosomal RNA", at positions 338 to 873 of the family's 1533-position model. The record is from RNAcentral.